GUGAGACGUCGGUAGAUCUUCGUCGAAAGAUCUUCGCGAGAGUCGUGUCUAUCUAGGUACAUACGAGGUCGAGCCUUCACCUCGAUCACCCAGUAUAUACAUAUGAGACUCGCGUGCGAGAGCGAGACGGGGCGCGAAAGGCAAAGAGAAAGAGAGAGGAAGAGAGGCAGAGAGAAAACGAGCGGGCGAAAGAAGGCAGAGAGAGAGAGAGAGAGAGAGAGAGAGAGAGAGAGAGGCUGCGGAUAUACGUGGAGCCACGCAAGCAAGAGCGAGUGAGCGACGAGCGCGAGUCGGGGAAAGAUUCGGAGGAGAGCGAGAGCGCGACGAGAGAGGAGAAAGGAGAGUGAAACGAGGGAGAGAGCGAAGGCGCGAGAGAUCGGUAAGAGGGGUCACUGGUUGUUCGUUGCACGCUCAACGUAUGGGAAUCGUUAUGGACCAACUACAGCCGUUGGAAUGUAUUCAUUUUUCUUUUUUGUGUCUCCCUCGUCUACCUGGCGAACCACUCUCCCUCCGUAUAGCGGCGGCGGUGGCGGUGGCGGUGGCGGCGGUGGCGGCGGCGGUGGCGGCGGCGGUGGCGGCGGUGAACCUCUUGUGGGCAAUCCUGUCGGCCAGCAACCGGCAACCGGAGGAGGAUCGAGUUCGAUCUGAAGAGAAUGAGAGUGAGAGAGAGAAAAGACAAGCUGUGUAAGCAAACGAGAGAACGACGUGUUGGAAGGAGAGGAAAAACUCAGAUCGACCGCCAUAGAGAGGAGAAAAGAGGAGAGAUUGGUCUAACGGGGUGGUGAGGGUGUAAGCGGCGGCCGAGCAGUCAGGAGUACCAGGAGGGACAGCCGGCAGAAGGAGAAAUAAUGGGACUGCGAGAUAAAAAAGGCGAUCAGGAGGUAAAUCGAUGAUCAUCGACGGACGAGCGAUAGAUUGAAGAGAGAGAGGAGUCGGCAAACGUAAAAAAAUUGUGAAAGUUUGAGCCGAGGAAGAGGAAGGUGCACGAGACAUCAAGAGUUGGUAACAGCCGAUGGAGGAGGAAAAACGCAGGAACGAGGAGAGAAAAACGCUACUUACUCGAGAGCCAGAGCAGAAACUUUUGGAUAAGAACAAUGAUAUAACCGGCACGAUGGAUGUGGAGGAAGCGAACGGUGUCCGCAGACACCGCAAAGAACAAGCUCGAGAACAAGAAGGCUCGCGAAGACGUUCGACCGCGGGGACGUUCGUCGACGUCGCCGUCUAUCGGCACUCGCCGCGGAUGAACUUGCGAUCGCGGCUCAAUUAAAAAAAAGAAGAAAAGGGAAGAUCGCACCGAUUAUCCUCAAAGAGCGAACGCAAGAAUAAAGCGAAGGACGCCGAAGAGCGGGACCAAGAGAAACCGGCACGGAACCGGCGCGCGGCGCGGCGCGGCGCGGCGCGGUGGCGCGAAGACAACGAGAGCGAGAGAUCGGCGCAGGAAAAAAGAUGGAGAAGGAGAGAAAAACGGAGAGUAAGGAAGGAGAGACUUCCGACGUUUCGCUUAAGAACGGAUCUGCUGGGUGAUGGAAGCGAAACUCAGAGGGGAUCCGAAUGGAACCGAGACGAACCGACGAACGGCGAACGGAUGGACGACGGACGACCCGACCGGUAGAAAAUGUAGGUAGAAGGACAAGGCAUGAGACGCGGUUCGCCAAGGGAAAUGAGGAUGGCGUGAACCGGUCCUCUCUCCUCCUGCCUCUUCGCUCCUCUCCCCUUUCUCUCUCUCUCUCUCUCUCUCUCUCUCUCGCUCUCUCCGAGUAGGCACCUCUCUCCUCUCUCUUGUGCCCUCGUCUCGGCGCAAUGCUGCGACGGUUUGACUCACAAUAUGGAUUUGAACGGGCCAAUCGCCACUCGCAGUCUUGUUCACCGGUUACAUAUAUGUUGGGGGGAAUCUGAGCUGAAGAACAUCGAUGUAGGGGAAUCAAAAUGAUGGUGGGGCGCAAAAGGUGCGUCGGCUGGCUUGAGUUAAUAUCCCGCAGUCCAGUUGUACAGUGAGUGCGGAGAGACAACUAUGUCUCAUCUGGUAUCGUACUAGGUGUCUUCUCUUUCUCGGUCUCUGUGUGUCCUUGGUACGACGGAGACAGUGAAGGACUAAACUUUGGGAAAUUCUCCAUUUUGAGUCGUCAGAUAUCCUCUCGGGUCAGGUAUGGUUCUCCACGCGAAAUUAAUAGAUCUGUGAUAAUGCGCAGUUUGGAGAACGCGCGGAGGAGACUGCACACUUUGGAGCAGCACUUCAACUUGAAAAAAAUCAUCGAUUUUAUUUUGCACUCCAGUAAAGUCCGCGCGAAUCGAGUCGGAGCAGUUAUAUAUAUAAAUGCUCGUUAAAAUAAAUACGAAUUUAAAUUUAAAUUAUCGAAUCAAUUUUUUUUCUACGUUUUUAUUAAAAAAGAAUUUUGAACGUAUAGAAAUUACGAAGCAAUUACUUUUCCAAGGUUGCUGGUACCGUAAAGUCACUUCGGUAUGUGAACGACAAAGUAUUACACAUAAUUCUAGAAACUUUUGAAAUUACAGGAUAGAAAGGAAACAUAUUUAUUUAUUGAUAUUUAUUAAAUAGUAGUAAUAAUAGUAAUAUUUAUAAUAAUAGUAGUAAUUACAGUAAAAAUGAAAAACGAAAGCAGGUGGGAUCAUAGAACAUUGAUAGUACUAUGAAAUCCCACUCGCUUUUAUUAUCGUUGCUAUAAUUACUAUUAUUACCAAGUAUCCAAUAAAUAUUACUACCAUAUCGAAAUAUGUACCUAGUUCUAAAGAGUUCUUCUGUGACUUCCGCUAAAAUCCAUACAUUUUAUGUAUAUGUUCCCUCAACAUUUCCAAUGUUUUAUGACCGUUUAGAAAACCGUAUAUAAAAUAAGUUACAUUACUAGAGAGAUUACGAAUUUAGAAAUCCGUAUAUAUGGGUUCAAACUCGCGACUUAGAGAUCCUGCCACUUUGAGGUCUAUCGUUCUCACGGCAAUCCGUUGAAUAGAAUAGUAGAUAGACAGAAUUUAUUAGCUGAGCAAUUAAUACCUUUGUGCAGCUAGCUUUCCCUACUAAAAAGUAUUGUCGCAAGUAAUUCAUUGUAUUCAUACAGUCUAUGGUCAGAGAACCUUAUGGAAGUUUAUGGAAGUCACCUCGAGUUACCCGGUUUAUUUUGUAGUAGCGCAUUGAUUAUUGCUGUGUUGCUAACCUACAUCCGUGGAAACCGAUGAAUGGCUACACAUUAAUACAUAUUUUAUAGCUGCGCUGAUGUUAACAAAGAAUCAGGAAGUUAAAAGAAUUUUUUCACUAACGGUUAUUCAUAAAAGUAUGCAUAUAACUGAAUCAGGAAUUGUUCAGUUUGUAUGAAAAAUUGUACGUUUGGAUAAUUACAUGAAAGAUACCUGUUAUGCAAUAAUGAUUAUAAUCGUAAUAUUCGUUUCAUCAGACGAGUUAUAAAUAACAAAAUAAGGAAAUAUACAAUGUAUGUAAUAUAAAUGACAAAACUAUUAUCACACUUAACAAAUUUUUAUAAAAUUUAUGUUAAGGAAAUCAUAAAUAAUUAAUUUUUAUUUUUAUUGCAUCCUAACUGCGUAAAUCAUAGCAAAGAUUGCAAACUGGUUUCAUGAUAACUGCAAUUUUUAUUGGAAAGAAAUAAUCAGUCAAUAUCAAUUCUGGAAAAUUGACUUUGUUUAAAAAAUUUUUUAAAUAAAGUUAAAUUUUUAGAUGUUUUAUAUGUUUCGUUUGUAUCAGAAUGGAAUAUUUCCGCACUCAAAAAUUUAAAAUGUCAUAUAUGCGAGAUAACAAGUCCGCAAAUCAAAUCUAGAUCUUUUGUUUGACAAUUUUAAUAACGUAUUAUCUAGCAUUUCCAAUACUUGUUAGAAUCAGAAAAAUCAGAAAAUCAGGCGGCAAUAAAUUUACAAAUUUUUCAUGGCAAAAAUCGUAAUGAUGAUUAUGAUAAAUCCAUAAUGCAUUAGAUGCAAAAAUUAAUCAUUACAUUGCCUUAGAAACAAUAAUGAUUUAAUACAUAAAAAACAAACGAAAAAAUAGAGAAAUUAGAAACGAUUUCUACAAUUGAAAAUUUUGAAUUUCUGUAAAUUUUAUAAAUGCAACAUUUUUGCAUGAGGUUAUUUUCCGUCGAUGACCGUAUAAUUAAUAUGUAAUGAAGCAUUUGAGUUGUAACAUUUUGAAGCAUUAUAGUCAUCCAUAGAUAAGAAGUCUCUGAUUACUUAUUCCAAUCUUGAGAUAAUUAGUAAUGUCUAGAGAGCAAGGAGCCUUUUUGAAAAUUAUAAUAUCUUCGAAAUGGUUCCUUACUCUCUAGCAGUAAAAUUCUUUCACUGCUUCAGAUUAUGAAGCAGUAAAAGAAUCUUACUAAUAUUUAACUUUUUUUUUACUAAUUGCUUAUCUUGAGAAUGACAUAGAGCUAAUGGUUUUUUCUAAUUUUUGUCCUUCCUAAAAAUUGAUCUGAAUACAGGUACUUUUCCACCCGCAUAGUUUUAUGGAGAUUCGUAGUGUUUCAGAACUAAACUUACAUCAUUCUCGAUGUAAGCGACUCACGUACCGGUCGACACGAGAUACAUUAGUUGAAAUAUACAGUUUUGAAAGUACCGAAGCGUGGAAUACCUUGAUUUCGUGCCUAAUAGCUGAGCUGUUACCACAAGAAUUUUAUUUACAUUCAAGAUUUUGUCGAACGGUCGAACGGUCAUAUUGAAUACAGUAUUCUAAACACAAGAGAGGAACCAAUAACAGUAGGUUCAGAACUCGCUUUCUUCAACACACGAAUGUUAUAUGAUUAAUAUUCAGAACGAACCUUGAAAUCUUUCCGAAACUUUUACAAUUGACUUCGCGAGUACAGCACAUUUGUUUUCUAUUCGUUGAACUACCAAAUUCCGCGCACGAUUACUCAGCAUUAACAUAAAAAUCUGUGUCUUUAUUUCUUUUUAAUUGGUAAUUAUGUGCGCAAUUUAAGAUUAAAAUUCAUUAUUAGAACAUUAUUUCCUUUAUUUACAAUAUUUUUAGUUACUUUGUAUAAAAUUAUUGUUCCAAUAUUCUCUCAAAUAUUUCUCAGCACUGCUAGCACUUUUUCGCGAACAUAAUUCUCUCUCUUUCUUUUUCUCGAAUUAUUAAGAAUUAUUUAUGAAAUGCUAAACUUGAAAUUCUUGGUUUAUAUUCUUUCGCGGUUUAAUUAAGAUUCCGCAGUGCUCGCAUUAACAAUUCGCAUUAAAAAUUAGCAUCCUAUGAAGAGGAUGCGUCAAACAAUGACGUAACGAACGUAAUCGAACAGAAACGAGAUAAGAAAGGAGAAUGCACGAGGAUAUAAGUUCGCGCACCUCGACUUGCCACAAGAUAUCAGAGAACUUCUUCAAGGCUGUAACAUCAGGAUCGUCGAAUACUUUGGUCGGUUAAUAACUUAACAAGUUCAAUCGUUUAUUAUGAAAAUGAUUUACGUGGCAUGGUCGAAGGUCGAUUCUUUUUCACUUUGAACAAGAUGAACAGGAAAUUAUUACAGUUUUAUAAUCCUUUUUCUGAUCUUUAGAUUCUAUUAAAGAAAGCCAUUAAAAAUUUUUUUUUUUUUUUCUAUAUAUACAAAAGCAUUAUUUCUUUGCAUUCGUACAAUUCAAUGUAAAUUAAAAUUAUUAAUUAACAAGUUAAUGUUUAAAAUAAAAUACGAAAAAGAAACAGUUUCCGCUGGUAAAGGAAACAUCUGUGCUAAACGCGGUUAUCGCUAGGUAAAAUAAUUUUAUGUAUUGUUCUAGCAAAGCGUUGAAGAAAUCUUUUCCAAAGACGUAGGAUAACGCGAGUCGAGUGCAUAAUAUCCAAACCAUUAGUUUCUACUGACGUAAUCGAUCGUGCGAAAGUCAAGGAAGCUUUAUUAAUCAAGCCAUGUUCUCGUGUUAUUAAUGAGAAAUUGGUAUUGCGAGAAAUCUGCUUAUGUUAUCUCAGCUAAAAGUUUCAAUCUUUUUAUUAUUUACCGUUAACUCUCAUUAAUUAUUAUUAACGUGCAACAUUACAAUUCCAAAUUUUUUUUUUUCGUAAAUUUUUCUUCGACGACACAUCCUUCAUAAAUUUUCCAAUUUUUGUACUUGUUUGUACCGUACGUUUUAUUGUAUUUUCUGAAAGACUGAUCGCUGGUUCCGUAUUCGCAUCACCCGUGCGCACAUCCUCAUCGUCGGCGAUUCGCACCGUUUCGCGUGCGAAUUUACGCGGGCCUCUUAGCAACAAGUUACGCACACACACCUGCCGUGGAAAAGCGGAGCCGCGCGAGCUCGUUCUCGUUGCUGUGCAACUCAAGCAAGUCUCCUCCUUGUCGCUCGACAAUCUCCGUAACAUUAUAUUUGUCUGCCUCGUGGCUCGUAAUCGAGUAUAACUAUUUCGCACGAGAUCGUUGAUAUUUCACUUAAGCAGAUUCUUUUCCACGUGGAAUACGAGUGAGAGAAAAUUGCACGAUAUGCAAAUUUCGAAUUUGCAAGAAUUUGGAAUGAUAACAAGAUCCUCGCUCGAUUAUUUAAUCUCUCAAAAUGGGAUCCAAGAUUUUUGACCUGGAGAUCAAAAAUGUGACUCUUAUACUCAUAUUUGAUCUCAAUGUUAAAUAAUUGAACAUUUGUUAUUUAAAUUCAUACGUUUCCCGCGAAUAAUGAAAUAAAUUUUUUAUUUUCGUCAUCAGUUACAAGUGAAUAUCUCGACUUGAUCUUAAAAUUAAUAUUUUAUCUGAAUCAACUGACUCAUUUCUCAAACGAAAUCAGAAAAAAAAAAUUAUUUGAAUCUAAUUACAAUUUGAUUUGAAUCUAACAAGCAUCUCCUUGCGAACGACAUAAUCGAAUCCUUACUCUGCAAAUUUUGCAAACAUUUAUUACGCUCUGACAUGCACACGAUAAUAGUUUUAAUUAUCCACGUUAUAUUUUAUUAUUUAUAAUUUAUUAACUCAUCCAACGAAACGAAUAUAACAAACACUUUCCACUUAUAUGGUCAUCCGAGCACGCAAUUUUUCAAAGAAACCAAAUAAUCUCUGAUUCAGAUAAUAUGUUUAUAAAUAAAAGUACGCAGAACUUUUAUUUGUGACAUAUGGUAUUACGAACAAUAAAGGUUCUAAAAUUUUCUAUAUUGUAAAAUUUUUUAUAUGUAAUAUUUAAAUUGUCCCUUCACUAAUUUGGGAGUAAAUUUUUUCCUAAGGUAAAUGUCUUCUUUUUUUACAAAUUCUUAACGUGCAAUUUUAGAUAUCUUAUGAGCCGUGGGUACUAUCUGGAAGUAAGUAAAACACGUUUGCUCACAUCGAUAAGACACAACCAUAGGAGUGACGAUAAUUCACAACGUCGUAUCUCACGUUGGCGCGUUAGAAUUUCAGCAUCAUUGAUUAUUCGUUUAUACGGCGUAACACGCACUACCGGUCCGUGUUGAAGCACACGUGCGUAUUAUGCACAAAUUUGUACGUAACAUUAACGACAGAUCGUACUGCGUACGCGUGGCAAAAAGUACGUCAUUUAAAGAUACUUAUACUUCCCCUUUUAUAGAUAUGUCUAAUUUAAUUGUCUCUUUAAGGUAGACCGAGGCGAAUCGGAUCAAUUUUUCUUCAUAGGUAAACAAAUAAUUUUAUUAAGUUUUACUAUAAAUUCUUCAUCUUUAUAUCUUUGGCUUGAGUCUUAUACAAUAAAAUAAUACAUAACCAUUUUUCAUUUCUUGCGUAACGAAAAGGAGUAAUCCGAUUCACUCCAACAUUGGGGACGAAGCGGAUCAUCAGUUAAAUAAAAUUAAAAAAUAAAAAUAAAUGAAUAAACUCUUUGAAAGAGUCUUUUAAGUCUUUUCGUUGCAAACUCAAAAUUAGGAUCGUGAUUUUAUAGAAGACAAAAUUUCUUCGCGCAUCUACGAUUUUUGCGAUUGUAUCAUUGAUUAACAAUAAAUCACACGUAAUACAGAAUUGUUGUCUAUUGUUUUCGCUGCAGAGAGAGAGAGAGAGAGAGAGAGAGAGAGAGAGAGAGAGAGAGAGAGUGUGUGUGUGUGUGUGUGUGUGUGUGUGUGUGUGUGUGUGUGUGUGUGUGUGUGUGUGUGUGUGUGUGUGUGUGUGUGUGCACGGAACGGAAGUAAGCAUGAUAAAACAGAUAGCACGAAAUAAAAAACUAUGAUAACUAUCUCAAAAAUGAUCCGAUUUGUUCUGCGAUUCAAUUUGCUUCGGUCUACCCUAUUGUGUGCGAAUUUAUUUGGAAUCGUAAUAUUCCUCUAUCUUUCCAUUUUUGAAAUAUUUUCGAGCCUUCCUCGCUGCCGAGGAAGACACUUUUCGACCACUGUUCGACACUGGCAAGAAGUCGCUUUUACGUAGCGCGCACAUUCACCGAAUACCGCAACCGGUAUUAUUGCCGCGCGGAAGCCUAUAUCGCGUGCGAUCUUCAUUGCGUCGGCGAACACGUCUGAGAUCGGCACGGUAGAGCGAGCGUCCGAGAAGCAAAAUGCAAACACGCCGCAUCUACCCGUUCUGCAUACGUACACGUUCCGCAAAUUUUCGUUCAGAGAUCGACGACGCGCGCCGGAAACAGUGAAACGAUCUAGACCAAAGCCAAUUAAUGUAAAAUUAUUUCGAGAAUGCCCGUCGCAAAAUCUGCAGUUUUAGUAUCGAUUUGAGUAAUUUUUAAAUAGAAAAAACGCCCAAUUUUAAAUAGAAUAUUCUUCUAAAUUAUCUACUAUUUUUUAGAUAAAAUAUUUUUUUAAUUUAAUAUUUAUUCAAUUUUGCAAAU
This is a long non-coding RNA of Solenopsis invicta (red fire ant), 8676 nucleotides long. RefSeq lists it as uncharacterized. The record is from RefSeq and is a predicted model, not a curated record. The transcript has 2 exons. NCBI's taxonomy places the organism in Eukaryota, Metazoa, Arthropoda, Insecta, Hymenoptera, Formicidae.